Molecule: long non-coding RNA, 124 nt
Organism: Sphaeramia orbicularis (orbiculate cardinalfish)
Lineage: Eukaryota; Metazoa; Chordata; Actinopteri; Kurtiformes; Apogonidae
Exons: 3
Source: RefSeq, a predicted model, not a curated record
AAAUUUACAUCAGUGUUUCUCAAAUCACCCUCAUCUGACUUCCAAAGCAAAGUUACGACUACAGAUAACUGUUUUCUUAAUUAAAAGUGAAUCAAAUGUAGCCUAAAACAGCCUACACCCAAAG